This 892-nucleotide ribosomal RNA is filed under the name Septoria steviae. Its description in RNAcentral is "partial large subunit ribosomal RNA". It matches the Rfam family "Eukaryotic large subunit ribosomal RNA", at positions 1 to 968 of the family's 3401-position model. The record is from RNAcentral. Lineage: Eukaryota; Fungi; Ascomycota; Dothideomycetes; Mycosphaerellales; Mycosphaerellaceae.
UUAUCAGGAGAGCAUAUGUAAGCCUACACGGGUAGGGGUAGGGUUGCCAGUGGGGGCCAACAGCUCAAAUUUGAAAUCUGGCGCAAGCCCGAGUUGUAAUUUGUAGAGGAUGCUUCUGGGUAGCGACCGAUCUAAGUUCCUUGGAACAGGACGUCAUAUAGGGUGAGAAUCCCGUAUGUGACCGGCCCGCACCCUUUACGUAGCUCCUUCGACGAGUCGAGUUGUUUGGGAAUGCAGCUCUUAUUGGGAGGUAAUUUUCUUCUAAAGCUAAAUACCGGCCAGAGACCGAUAGCGCACAAGUAGAGUGAUCGAAAGAUGAAAAGUACUUUGGAAAGAGAUUAAAAAGCACGUGAAAUUGUUGAAAGGUAAGCGGCUGCAACUAGACUUCGCGGCAGUGUUCCGCCGGUCUUCUGACCGGUUUAUUCUCUGUCGCGAGGCCAUCAUCGUCUGGCCCGCCGGAUAAGACCUUAGGAAUGUAGCUCACCUUCGGGGGAGUGUUAUAGCCUAGGGUGAUGCGGCGAGGCUCGGGCGAGGUCCGCGCUUCGGCAAGGAUGAUGGCGUAAUGGUUGUCGGCGGCCCGUCUUGAAACACGGACCAAGGAGUCUAACAUCUAUGCGAGUGUUCGGGUGUCAAACCCCUACGCGUAAUGAAAGUGAACGGAGGUGGGAACCGCAAGGUGCACCAUCGACCGAUCCUGAUGUCCUCGGAUGGAUUUGAGUAAGAGCAUAGCUGUUGGGACCCGAAAGAUGGUGAACUAUGCCUGAAUAGGGUGAAGCCAGAGGAAACUCUGGUGGAGGCUCGCAGCGGUUCUGACGUGCAAAUCGAUCGUCAAAUUUGGGUAUAGGGGCGAAAGACUAAUCGAACCAUCUAGUAGCUGGUUCCUGCCGAGUUC